AGUGAACGCUGGCGGUAGGCCUAACACAUGCAAGUCGAACGGCAGCACAGUAAGAGCUUGCUCUUACGGGUGGCGAGUGGCGGACGGGUGAGGAAUACAUCGGAAUCUACUUUUUCGUGGGGGAUAACGUAGGGAAACUUACGCUAAUACCGCAUACGACCUACGGGUGAAAGCAUGGGAUCUUCGGACCUUGCGCGAUUGAAUGAGCCGAUGUCGGAUUAGCUAGUUGGCGGGGUAAAGGCCCACCAAGGCGACGAUCCGUAGCUGGUCUGAGAGGAUGAUCAGCCACACUGGAACUGAGACACGGUCCAGACUCCUACGGGAGGCAGCAGUGGGGAAUAUUGGACAAAGGGCGCAAGCCUGAUCCAGCCAUACCGCGUGGGUGAAGAAGGCCUUCGGGUUGUAAAGCCCUUUUGUUGGGAAAGAAAAGCAGCAGGUUAAUACCUCGCUGUUCUGACGGUACCCAAAGAAUAAGCACCGGCUAACUUCGUG
This 492-nucleotide ribosomal RNA is filed under the name uncultured bacterium. RNAcentral's name for it is "partial 16S ribosomal RNA". It matches the Rfam family "Bacterial small subunit ribosomal RNA", at positions 29 to 507 of the family's 1533-position model. The record is from RNAcentral.